GCACUAAGGGAGAUGAUGUAUUUCUCUGUGAGUAUGAGUAUGAUGUUAAUUGGCAUGCUUUCAAGCGCCUGGCAGAUGC
Molecule: small nucleolar RNA, 79 nt
Organism: Cryptomeria japonica (Japanese cedar)
Lineage: Eukaryota; Viridiplantae; Streptophyta; Pinopsida; Cupressales; Cupressaceae
Product: small nucleolar RNA snoR28
Exons: 1
Source: RefSeq, a predicted model, not a curated record